Molecule: small RNA, 490 nt
Filed under: Histoplasma capsulatum
Lineage: Eukaryota; Fungi; Ascomycota; Eurotiomycetes; Onygenales; Ajellomycetaceae
Also listed under: 1 other name
Description: hypothetical RNA
Source: RNAcentral
AUACCGACUCCGUCCUGUCACGGCUAUUCAAAAUCCUGCAUUUGGGGGUUGUAGGCGCCUUCACUAUUCUGGGACCUAAUUUCGAUUCAUCAAGCCCCACGACAAGGACGAAUCAGUACCAGAACACUAGCUUCGUUCUUAUGUCAUCGCGAGUUAUCCUGGUUCUUCAGUAUGGCUCCAUCUUAUGGUAUAUAAGAGGAUACAAACGUGCAGUUCUUCCAAUUCUGAUGGUUAUUGGUGCACUCUUUGUUACUGCAAUGUCGUACAUGGGUCUCGCAUUUGCUGCAAUAAGAUCUAGCGGGAAUCUUGCCUUCGUUGCAUGGUAUGUGAUUGGGGCAGUGGAGGCAAUAUUUAUGGUAUCUAUAUCAAGCUUUUGGGAAGUGCUUAGUUUCAAGGAGACUGCUAUCGUCCAAAGAUUUAAGAGCAUGACAUUGAUUAUCCUCGGAAUAGGCUUUGUUGGGAUGGCCAGAGCGGCCACCAGAGUUGCCCA